UUUUUUUUUUAAAAUCGUACUUGCUCAGUUCCAUUUUUAUGUGUUGUCGUCGAUAAUAUUCACACGAGAUAGAAGAAUAAUUUUUAGCCUCUCUCUCUCUCUCUCUGUCUCUCUCUCUCUCUCUCUCUUUUAUUAUGUAGAUUCGUGAGCUGAAAUCUAAGCUACAAGAUGACAAAAGCGAAGGCAAAGUUUUAGUUAAAGAAGAGGUAAUGGUGUCUGAAAGUGAUGAUGAUAAGGCGAUAGAUCAUCAAGCAAAAACAUCAACGGAUGAUGUUCUAGCUGAAUGUGAUGAAGAUGAUGAUGCAAAUGAGCUCAACUUUGUUGAGAGCUUCAGCAGCAGCAAUGGAGUAAUGAAUGGUGCCUCAAUUUUUACUGAUUUUAAAGAUGGAUCGUGUGAUAGUGACUCAAGCGCAAUCUUGAAUGAGGAGAAUCUCAAUAACAGCAGCAGCAGCCCAAAUGCUGCUAUUUCUUCAUCUGGAGGAGGGGUUGUUCUUCAAACAGUACCCCACCAGUUCUUGAUAUCCAAUGGAGGAGGAGGAGGAGGAGUUGGUGGUUCUUCAUCAACAACCAUUAGUAAUGGAUUCCAGUUUGGUCAUGACUCAAAAGCAGCAAUUCUUGGAGAAGCUCACAAAUCAUCAUCAGCAGCAGCAGCAGCCGCAUACCAGCCACAGUUUGUGAAAAUUGAGGAGCACAAUUUUUUCAGCGGUGAUGACUCAUGCAGUACCUUUUUUUCAGAUGAUCAACCUCCCACUCUUCAUUGGUAUUGCCCUGAAGAGUGGAAUUGAAGAGAAAAAAAAAAAAAGGAAAAACCCUCGUCCAAUAAAAAAAAAAAAAGAAAAAAAAAACCACCCUUGGGGAAAAAAAUAAUUAAUGAUACUUGAGACAAGGAGAAAUCAAGAAGAUAUAUCUCAAUUCUGAACCCAUCCAUGCCCGCUUCCAAGGGGAAAGAAGUUUUGUAUAGUGGUAAUUUUAUUUUAGUUGAAUAUGAUCAUGUAAUUAAUCAAGAAGAAGGUCUCUUCAUUGUACAAAAAUGAAGUUACAAAUGCAGUUCCAUCAGGAUCCAAGA
RNAcentral lists this long non-coding RNA (1066 nucleotides) under Coffea arabica (coffee). RNAcentral describes it as "long non-coding RNA (CARA_LNC004951)". The record is from RNAcentral. Lineage: Eukaryota; Viridiplantae; Streptophyta; Magnoliopsida; Gentianales; Rubiaceae.